Long non-coding RNA from Alligator mississippiensis (American alligator), 2013 nucleotides. RefSeq lists it as uncharacterized. The record is from RefSeq and is a predicted model, not a curated record. NCBI's taxonomy places the organism in Eukaryota, Metazoa, Chordata, Crocodylia, Alligatoridae. The transcript has 3 exons.
ACUUAAUGCUACACGCUGUGGAAGAAGGAAGACACAGUAGCAGCAAAUGCUUGAGUCAUACAUCCCAAAUCAUUUUCAUCUCUUUGGACUGGAUGCUGAGGUACCAAUCCGCACCUUUUGUCACAGUGAUGUCACUGGAGUGAGGUAUUUGCAUGGGAAAGGGGGUCAGAACUCGGCCUAUUGUGCCUCUCACUCCCCACAUCAGUACAUAUUCCCUUGCAAUACAGAGCCUGGAGAAGCGAAAUUGGUCUGAUGCUCUUUGGUUUGGAGGUAAGAUAGCCGUGCUAUUGCUGCCAUUAGUGCUUGUAAGGCAGCUAUUCCUACAUCUUGGGCAAGCUGGCUGGUUCUUGGAGGGCUACUCCCUUGAAGAAACAAUUCUCCCCGGCUUUGUGUCUCCUUAGGUGGCCAGGCCCAAACGUACGGUCACAGGAGAGCCGGAAAAGUUCCUCCAGAUGAGGUACCCUCCCAUGCACAGCAAUCCAAUGACCACUGAAGAAGAGAAGGAUACAGUUGUCAGCUGGCUAAGUGGGAAGGGCAGAAAUUCCCAGACAUAUUUUCAUGUGGACUUCUGUCCUGUGCCCCUCCCCCUGGCCAGACCCGCACUGCAUCGUUCUGGGAGCACCAGGAAAAUCUUUUACCUAAAGGUGCCAGGCUAGUCUUCUCCAAGCCUAAAUCAAGCCUACUUACCAACAGGAACUACAAUCCCAACAACAGCUGCUGUGACAGUGGAGCCAAAACCUUCUGCGUUAUUAGCAUCUGUGUCGUGCUGGUGGAACAGGUGCGGCUGACAGUCUUAAAGAAUGAAACCCCCUGCUCCAAGCAGAACAAGUUAUUUCUGGCAAGUCAGGUCAGCUUCUCUGCCUUGCCUCGCCGGUGUGCCACAGCUCUGAGGAUUAUAUCCAAGAGUGAGAAGGUAAGUGGCUAUUCAGUACUGAACUUCUGCAGGGGCAUACACCAAGGGAGCCAGCUAGUGUUCCCUUUCCGGGCCAUCUUUUGCAAUGCAGAAAGCUGCCCCCCCAGAAUGUUCAUUCUAAUGCAACACUUUGUUGUCAGGCAUGUUUCAGUCUGGAUAACAUGAACAUUCAGGGCAUGGGGCCAAAACAGAUACAGCUUUCUUUACAAAUAGGAAUCUUGAGUGCUAAUAGAUGAAAGGCGAAUCCCAGGCACCUGGCUGGGUAAGGCCCAGAACAGUUCUACCCGAUGCAGUGAUUCAGUGGCCCAGGUGACCUGUCUGUAUGAGGGCUCCCAUUGCUGAGAAUACCAGCAGAAACAGCUGUUAGCAAUGGUGGUGUGCCCCUAUCAUAGCAGGGCCUCGCACAUGGACUUUGCCUGUACGUGUGUAAACACAUGCACUGAACUUUUGCUCACACUAGUGAGCUUCCACUUUCUAAAAAAAAAAUUGCAUCUUUUAUCAGCGUAGUGGCCUGCAAAAAUGGAAGACUGGCACAGGAAACAGGUCCUAGCGGUAAAUGAAUGCUCCUGCACCGACUAGACAUCUGGUGGGUGUUCUCUUCUUAUCUCUCACCACCUCCAUUUGCCUCUCAUUGCAUAUUCAUGGAAUAGCAACUUGGCAAAAAUAACUCGCACAAAGAUUUACUACUCGUACCCAUUUAUAUCAAGCAUUUAACUUGCAUCAGGACAUAGAAGCUACCCAAAAUUCCAGCUACACUUGCUCACAAGGGUUUGAGAUCAGCCCUGUGCAUGUCAUGGAAGUCUCAAUGUGAGGGUCCUCUCCUCCAGCACCAGCUUUACACCAGGUUCACACUGCAGGAGGGAAAGGAAUCAAGUAAUGGUUUCUUACGUACAGACAGGAGGCGUGCAGAGAACCAGGGAUCCCAUCAGUUACCAUGAAGGAGAACUGCACACAAAAACAUAUUACUUCUGCUUAUCUGUACGUGCCAGUGUCUACUGUGGUUCCAGCAUGGCUAGCCGGCCACACCUCCUCGUGGCCCACAGUACUCUCACUCCUAGCGGAAAGAACAGCAGUAGGAACCUGGUUGUCUUACAGUGCUG